Non-coding RNA from Pelobates cultripes (western spadefoot toad), 301 nucleotides. The record is from the annotation of a GenBank genome assembly. Lineage: Eukaryota; Metazoa; Chordata; Amphibia; Anura; Pelobatidae.
UCUGAUCUGAGAGCUCUCUGACACACUGUCUCUCUCUGAGAGAGACAGUGUGUCAGAGAGCUCUCAGAUCAAAGAGAGAGAGACAGAGACAGUGUGUCAGAGUGCUCUCAGAUCAAAGAGCUCUCUGACACACUGCCUCUCUCUCUCUGAUCUGAGAGCUCUCUGACACACUGUCCCUGUCUCUCUCUCUGAUCUGAGAGCUCUCUGACACACUGUCUCUGUCUCUCUCUCUGAUCUGAGAGCUCUCUGACACACUGUCUCUCUCUCUCUCUGACACACUGUCUCUGUCUCUCUCUGACAC